Molecule: long non-coding RNA, 3076 nt
Organism: Dicentrarchus labrax (European seabass)
Lineage: Eukaryota; Metazoa; Chordata; Actinopteri; Moronidae
Exons: 2
Source: RefSeq, a predicted model, not a curated record
AGCUGUUUCAGUCUGUUGCAUUAGCAGUGGUUGGCUUAAAGGACAGCGCUGACAUUAGCCAGCAACGGGACAUGAUCCUUCUCUCAACAGACCAUUCACUGAUGAUGACAUCACGCUGCUGUUUUUCUCUUCGAUCCCUGGAGAUGUGAUAAACGCUAGCAUGUGCUGGCUGUGUGCUUGUUACCAAUGCUGGCUUGCACCUGAGAGGCCCUCAACAAAGGAAAGCAAUCUUCAGCAAGUGGAGGAGAGGGCACAUGCUGAUCACCAUGGAGAGACGCUGAAGGAAGAAGGGGAGAAAGAGGUAAUAGAUUAAAAAGAUAGAAAUAUUGCUUUUUCUUUUAUAUGAAAAAAGAUGGGUAAGGGUAUAGGUAAAUGGAAAUGCAAAUAGCUUCCAGCAGGAAAAUAAAGAUUAAAUUAAUUAAAACAGUGGCUGAUUGACUAGACAAAGUAUCUUGUUCUGUACAGAAGCUGCUUUUAUCCACCUCUCGUUACACCUCUUUGUUCAAUCACAGCUCUUCUGCACCUCUAUAAAAACAACAGAUGGCUAUGUAAAGAAGGUGAUCUGAUCCAUCUACAUCUCAGCAAUUCAUUUGAGGAGUAUUAUCAAAGCUGAUAAUUUUGUAUUUGCAUCUUUACUAAAGGAGCACUGUUCUGUACUGCCUUAUCUUUGAUUAUCUCCAAUUCUAGCAUAUUUUUAAGACAAUACUAUAAUUACAGUUUUUCAACUGUAAUUGUUUUCCCCAAAACAAGCAUAUAGAAGAGGUUUAAGUAGUUUUUUUCAACCAUGUCUUUCUCUGUGUAAGGCCCCAGCUUGCUCCAACAAUCUGAUUCCAAAUGUCUGGUCUUCCCUGCACUUAUGUCAGACUUGCUCUCAUGAACUGUACAGGUUUAUACGCAUGACAUCUGGAGUGCCAAGGGGAAGGCACAAUCUGAAUAUAGCUUAGUUUAUUUUGAGAAUAUCUAUUCUUACCAACGUUGGUGGCUUGGCCCUUGGAUAGCAACAUAGACCCCAUGAAGACCUUGCAUUAAAAUGCGUUUUGGGUGAUAAGAUUGCAAUCGGAUAGAGUUUGUUCACCUCAAAGUACAGGUCUAAAUGCACCCAAGACACAAUCAAAAGAUUGAGUACAGUAAGUAUUUUUGGUGAACGUGAACUAAUGCACUGUUGAUUUAAACUCAAUAUAAACUUCUAAAAUAACAGAGAAGUACACAUUAUGAAGAAAGGUAGCACAAGGAAACGGUGCCAGGCAGAACUUACACCAGUCAAACAUAACAUUAUGACCACCUGGCUUGAUGAUCAGUAUAACAACCUCUUUUUGUUGACUCUCUCUGCUUUGUUCUCAGCUCUGAGGCUUGAUUAACCAGCCCUGGGUCAUAUUUCUAUAAAGACAUGUACAGUGUACCAGCAUACAUUCUAUGUAAAUUUACAUUUAUUCCUACACCAAUGUUUCCAUGUAACAUAAUUUCACCUAUUUUGAAUAAUUUCAAAUUUCAAAUACCAAGCCAACUUUUAUAACUUUUGUAUGGUAAACAUAACUAAAGCCUUUCGUUCAUCAGUCAUCAGUCUCACGGUACUAGUGAUGUGAAGGAGUUGGCUUCUUACAGUGAACAAUGGGAGCUGGCUCCUGUCUGAGAGCCGAUUUCUUUUUUGAUUUUUUUUCUAAUAAAUGAAUACAAAAUAGAAUAUUAGGAUGAUCAGUCUUACUUGUUGGUGGCCAACAGAUAUUCUUUUUUGAAAUGAGAAAACCAAAAUUGGAAAAACAGCCCAGACAGUUUCCCGACUAGCAUUUACACAGAUCACCCUGGUGGUCAUAAUGUUCUGCAGCCCCAUACCAACAAACUGUGAUGCACUGUUUGUUCUGACACCUUUCUAUCAGAACCAGCAUUUACUUUUUCAACAUUUUGAGCUACAGUAGCUCGUCUGUUGGAUCGGACAGGGCAGCCUUGGCUCCCUGUGUGCAUCAGUGAGCCUUGACGCUGUCAUUCACCGCCUUUUCCUUCCUUGGAGCACUUUUGAUAGAUACUGACCACUGCAGACCAGGAACACUCCACAAGAGCUGCAGUGGAGAUGCUCUGAUCUUUGCUAUAUUUAAAAGUACUAAUAUUGACUUUGAUCAUACUCUGAUGAUGCUCAUACUUGUAGAAAGUACAUUAUCUGUAUCGGAUACUUGCGAAGUUGCUCAACCCUAAUAGCUAUAGAGCAUAACACCAGUGCGGACACAUGGCAUCUCCGCAAAGAAAAAUAAAGAAAAUUAAAAACAAAUACAUAAUACAGACAGAAUUGUAUAAAAAGUUGCUAAAAUAUCCGUCAAACUCAUCGCUGAUUCAAUAUUCACAGGAAACAAUCUGCCCAUAAUUCAUUUAAAUCACUGGUUCUACGCAAACUACACUAAACUGCAGUGUUCACUGUUUGGGUUCAUUAUGCAGUUUAUCAGUUGUUCUCUACUGUUAUUUUUUUUGCAUUGAAUAUAAUAUGAAAUACUGAUAAAAUAUGUCACUUACUCAGUUUACUAAAUGAUAGAAACCUUAAGGAAUACGGUCAGAGUUACAAGAUCAAGAUCUUGACAUUGCUACUGGUCAGUGACUGAGGUCUGAUAGUCCUUGUUUGGCCAGUGGCUCAGCACCCUUGCAUACUUGAUGUGAAAACAGUGAGUACUUCAAACCCACGAUGUCCUCAAUGAAGAUUGCACCCUUGUAAAAGAGUAUUUAAAAAAAAAAAAACUUUUGAAUCUUUAAAUACAGCUAGUCAGUGCCAGAUGCUGCUGCUCACUUGAAGAGGAACAAGGGUUGUGCAUAUUCCUAUAAACCUCAUCUCCUUUGUUCUUAUUUACAUCCUAUUUCCUUGGCUGUUCUAUCCUGUUUCCCAUAGCUUGCUGUGGCAGCCCAUUUUGCCCUGCAAGCAUCAAUAUACAGUACUUCCACCAAAUCUAAUCAAAUCUAAUCAAAUCAAAUUGCAGUGACACUCUGGGUUUUUCCUGCUAACAGCAUGAUAAAUUAUUCACUGUGGUUGGGCUUCUCUGUUUAUUUUCACAGGUAAAAAACUGCACUAACUGUAAUCAAUAAAGAAGCCAUUUAAUUG